This 1020-nucleotide ribosomal RNA is filed under the name uncultured bacterium. Its description in RNAcentral is "bacterial SSU rRNA". The stretch from base 66 to 601 matches the Rfam family "Bacterial small subunit ribosomal RNA", at positions 33 to 541 of the family's 1533-position model. The record is from RNAcentral.
GAUCAACUCGGACUNACUCGUCUAAUGCCUCUAGAUUAGACGUUGAUUCAUGGCUCACCANCGAGACGCUGGUCUGUGACNAGCCUAAUACAUGCAAGUCGAGCGAACAGAGAAGGAGCUUGCUCCUUUGACGUUAGCGGCGGACGGGUGAGUAACACGUGGGCAACCUACCUUAUAGUUUGGGAUAACUCCGGGAAACCGGGGCUAAUACCGAAUAAUCUAUUUUACUUCAUGGUGAAAUACUGAAAGACGGUUUCGGCUGUCGCUAUAAGAUGGGCCCGCGGCGCAUUAGCUAGUUGGUGAGGUAACGGCUCACCAAGGCGACGAUGCGUAGCCGACCUGAGAGGGUGAUCGGCCACACUGGGACUGAGACACGGCCCAGACUCCUACGGGAGGCAGCAGUAGGGAAUCUUCCACAAUGGGCGAAAGCCUGAUGUGAGCAACGCCGCGUGAGUGAAGAAGGUUUUCGGAUCGUAAAACUCUGUUGUAAGGGAAGGAACAAGUACAGUAGUAACUGGCUGUACCUUGACGGUACCUUUAUUAGAAAGCCACGGGUUAACUACGUGCCAGCAGACCGCGGUAAUUACGUAGUGGCAAGCGUUGUCCCGGAAUUAUUGGGCGGUAAGCGCNGCGCACGANGCGGGCCCUUAAAGUUCUGUUUUUAAANCCCCCCNGGUUCUCAACCCCGUGAGGGGUCUCUUGGCACCNUGGGGGACUUCAGUUUGCCCGCAACAGGGGACAAGUUGGGGAAUUUCCCAGUUGUUANCCGGGGGGNAANNAGCCGUUGAANGACUUUUGGGGGGGNGCCACCCCCUGGGGGGCAGGGGCAANCCUUUCGGUGGUCUUGACGGCUGUAGCGGAGACGACCUGGGUGGUGUGCGACAUGUGUUUCCUCNUUUUCUCCUCUUCCGCGUAUAGUGUUUUUGGUUCCCCCAGCGGGGGAGNAUGCUCCUCCUGCGUGUGUUGUUUUUAAUUAUAUAAGAUGGUNCGCUGGUGUUUGUUUUNUCUCACGCCAUCUGU